RNAcentral lists this ribosomal RNA (491 nucleotides) under uncultured bacterium. RNAcentral's name for it is "partial 16S ribosomal RNA". It matches the Rfam family "Bacterial small subunit ribosomal RNA", at positions 29 to 507 of the family's 1533-position model. The record is from RNAcentral.
GUGAACGCUGGCGGUAGGCCUAACACAUGCAAGUCGAACGGCAGCACAGUAAGAGCUUGCUCUUACGGGUGGCGAGUGGCGGACGGGUGAGGAAUACAUCGGAAUCUACUUUUUCGUGGGGGAUAACGUAGGGAAACUUACGCUAAUACCGCAUACGACCUACGGGUGAAAGCAGGGGAUCUUCGGACCUUGCGCGAUUGCAUGAGCCGAUGUCGGAUUAGCUAGUUGGCGGGGUAAAGGCCCACCAAGGCGACGAUCCGUAGCUGGUCUGAGAGGAUGAUCAGCCACACUGGAACUGAGACACGGUCCAGACUCCUACGGGAGGCAGCAGUGGGGAAUAUUGGACAAUGGGCGCAAGCCUGAUCCAGCCAUACCGCGUGGGUGAAGAAGGCCUUCGGGUUGUAAAGCCCUUUUGUUGGGAAAGAAAAGCAGCAGGUUAAUACCCCGCUGUUCUGACGGUACCCAAAGAAUAAGCACCGGCUAACUUCGUG